GACGAACGCUGGCGGCGUGCUUAACACAUGCCAGUCGAACGGAAAGGCCCUGCUUUUGUUGGGUGCUCGAGUGGCGAACGGGUGAGUAACACGUGAGUAACCUGCCCUUGACUUUGGGAUAACUUCAGGAAACUGGGGCUAAUACCGGAUAGGAGCUCCUGCUGCAUGGUGGGGGUUGGAAAGUUUCGGCGGUUGGGGAUGGACUCGCGGCUUAUCAGCUUGUUGGUGGGGUAGUGGCUUACCAAGGCUUUGACGGGUAGCCGGCCUGAGAGGGUGACCGGCCACAUUGGGACUGAGAUACGGCCCAGACUCCUACGGGAGGCAGCAGUGGGGAAUAUUGCACAAUGGGCGGAAGCCUGAUGCAGCAACGCCGCGUGCGGGAUGACGGCCUUCGGGUUGUAAACCGCUUUCGCCUGUGACGAAGCGUGAGUGACGGUAAUGGGUAAAGAAGCACCGGCUAACUACGUG
RNAcentral lists this ribosomal RNA (468 nucleotides) under uncultured bacterium. RNAcentral describes it as "partial 16S ribosomal RNA". It matches the Rfam family "Bacterial small subunit ribosomal RNA", at positions 28 to 507 of the family's 1533-position model. The record is from RNAcentral.